GUGGGGAAUAUUGGGCAAUGGGGGAAACCCUGACCCAGCAACGCCGCGUGAGGGAAGAAGGUUUUCGGAUUGUAAACCUCUGUCCUUGGUGACGAAGGAAGUGACGGUAACCAAGGAGGAAGCCCCGGCUAACUACGUGCCAGCAGCCGCGGUAAUACGUAGGGGGCAAGCGUUGUCCGGAAUGACUGGGCGUAAAGGGCGUGUAGGCGGCCGAUUAAGUCUGGAGUGAAAGUCCUGCUUUCAAGGUGGGAAUUGCUUUGGAGACUGGUUGGCUUGAGUGCGGAAGAGGUAAGUGGAAUUCCCAGUGUAGCGGUGAAAUGCGUAGAGAUUGGGAGGAACACCAGUGGCGAAGGCGACUUACUGGGCCGUAACUGACGCUGAGGCGCGAAAGCGUGGGGAGCGAACAGGAUUAGAUACCCCUGUAGUCC
Molecule: ribosomal RNA, 428 nt
Filed under: uncultured bacterium
Lineage: Bacteria
Description: partial 16S ribosomal RNA
Rfam family: Bacterial small subunit ribosomal RNA
Source: RNAcentral